This 71-nucleotide transfer RNA is filed under the name Ovis aries (sheep). It matches the Rfam family "tRNA". Rfam says of the family: Transfer RNA (tRNA) molecules are approximately 80 nucleotides in length. Their secondary structure includes four short double-helical elements and three loops (D, anti-codon, and T loops). Further hydrogen bonds mediate the characteristic L-shaped molecular structure. tRNAs have two regions of fundamental functional importance: the anti-codon, which is responsible for specific mRNA codon recognition, and the 3' end, to which the tRNAs corresponding amino acid is attached (by aminoacyl-tRNA synthetases). tRNAs cope with the degeneracy of the genetic code in two manners: having more than one tRNA (with a specific anti-codon) for a particular amino acid; and 'wobble' base-pairing, i.e. permitting non-standard base-pairing at the 3rd anti-codon position. Lineage: Eukaryota; Metazoa; Chordata; Mammalia; Artiodactyla; Bovidae. The record is from Rfam by way of RNAcentral.
UCCCAGGUGGCUCAGUGAUAAAGAAUCUGCCUGCAAUGCAGAAGACCCAGGUUCGAUUCCUGGGUCAGGAA